RNAcentral lists this ribosomal RNA (1963 nucleotides) under Mesorhizobium sp. RNAcentral's name for it is "partial 23S ribosomal RNA". It matches the Rfam family "Bacterial large subunit ribosomal RNA", at positions 1 to 1977 of the family's 2925-position model. Lineage: Bacteria; Pseudomonadati; Pseudomonadota; Alphaproteobacteria; Hyphomicrobiales; Phyllobacteriaceae. The record is from RNAcentral.
GGGUUGUGAGGUUAAGUGACUAAGCGUACACGGUGGAUGCCUAGGCAGUCAGAGGCGAUGAAGGGCGUGCUAAUCUGCGAAAAGCGUCGGUAAGGUGAUAUGAACCGUUACAACCGACGAUACCCGAAUGGGGAAACCCAGUGUGUUUCGACACACUAUCCUGUCAUGAAUACAUAGUGGCAGGAGGCGAACCGGGGGAACUGAAACAUCUAAGUACCCCGAGGAAAAGAAAUCAACCGAGAUUCCCCCAGUAGCGGCGAGCGAACGGGGAACAGCCCAGAACCUGAAUCGGCUUGUGUGUCAGUGGAAGCGUCUGGAAAGUCGCACAGUAAAGGGUGAUAGUCCCGUACACGAAGAUGCACAGGUCGUGAGUUCGAUGAGUAGGGCGGGACACGUGUUAUCCUGUCUGAAUAUGGGGGGACCAUCCUCCAAGGCUAAAUACUCCUGACUGACCGAUAGUGAACCAGUACCGUGAGGGAAAGGCGAAAAGAACCCCGGCGAGGGGAGUGAAAUAGAACCUGAAACCGUGUACGUACAAGCAGUGGGAGCACCUUCGGGUGUGACUGCGUACCUUUUGUAUAAUGGGUCAGCGACUUAUAUUUUGUAGCAAGGUUAACCGAAUAGGGGAGCCGUAGGGAAACCGAGUCUUAACUGGGCGUCUAGUUGCAAGGUAUAGACCCGAAACCCGGUGAUCUAGCCAUGGGCAGGUUGAAGGUUGGGUAACACUAACUGGAGGACCGAACCGACUAAUGUUGAAAAAUUAGCGGAUGACUUGUGGCUGGGGGUGAAAGGCCAAUCAAACCGGGAGAUAGCUGGUUCUCCCCGAAAGCUAUUUAGGUAGCGCCUCGUGAACUCAUCUUCGGGGGUAGAGCACUGUUUCGGCUAGGGGGCCAUCCCGGCUUACCAAACCGAUGCAAACUCCGAAUACCGAAGAAUGUUAUCACGGGAGACACACGGCGGGUGCUAACGUCCGUCGUGAAGAGGGAAACAACCCAGACCGCCAGCUAAGGUCCCAAAGUCAUGGUUAAGUGGGAAACGAUGUGGGAAGGCACAGACAGCCAGGAUGUUGGCUUAGAAGCAGCCAUCAUUUAAAGAAAGCGUAAUAGCUCACUGGUCGAGUCGGCCUGCGCGGAAGAUGUAACGGGGCUAAACCAUGCACCGAAGCUGCGGCAGCGACGCUUAUGCGUUGUUGGGUAGGGGAGCGUUCUGUAAGCCGUUGAAGGUGGCCUGCGAGGGUUGCUGGAGGUAUCAGAAGUGCGAAUGCUGACAUAAGUAACGAUAAAGCGGGUGAAAAACCCGCUCGCCGGAAGACCAAGGGUUCCUGUCCAACGUUAAUCGGGGCAGGGUGAGUCGACCCCUAAGGCGAGGCUGAAAAGCGUAGUCGAUGGGAAACAGGUUAAUAUUCCUGUACUUGGUGUUACUGCGAAGGGGGGACGGAGAAGGCUAGGCUAGCCGAGCGACGGUUGUCUCGGUUUAAGCGUGUAGGGGGAGUGACCUGGUAAAUCCGGUCGCUUGUUAACCCUGAGGCGUGAUGACGAUGCACUACGGUGCAGAAGUAGUUGAUGCCAAGCUUCCAGGAAAAGCCUCUAAGCUCCAGGUAACAUCAAAUCGUACCCCAAACCGACACAGGUGGUCAGGUAGAGAAUACCAAGGCGCUUGAGAGAACUCGGGUGAAGGAACUAGGCAAAAUGGUGCCGUAACUUCGGGAGAAGGCACGCUGGCGCGUAGGUGAAGUCCCUUGCGGAUGGAGCUGAAGCCAGUCGCAGAUACCAGCUGGCUGCAACUGUUUAAUAAAAACACAGCACUGUGCAAACACGAAAGUGGACGUAUACGGUGUGACGCCUGCCCGGUGCCGGAAGGUUAAUUGAUGGGGUUAUCCGUAAGGAGAAGCUCUUGAUCGAAGCCCCGGUAAACGGCGGCCGUAACUAUAACGGUCCUAAGGUAGCGAAAUUCCUUGUCGGGU